AUUGAACGCUGGCGGCAUGCCUUACACAUGCAAGUCGAACGGCAGCACGGACUUCGGUCUGGUGGCGAGUGGCGAACGGGUGAGUAAUGUAUCGGAACGUACCUUUCAGUGGGGGAUAACGUAGCGAAAGUUACGCUAAUACCGCAUAUUCUGUGAGCAGGAAAGCAGGGGAUCGAAAGACCUUGCGCUGAUUGAGCGGCCGAUAUCAGAUUAGCUAGUUGGUGGGGUAAAGGCCUACCAAGGCGACGAUCUGUAGCGGGUCUGAGAGGAUGAUCCGCCACACUGGAACUGAGACACGGUCCAGACUCCUACGGGAGGCAGCAGUGGGGAAUUUUGGACAAUGGGGGCAAACCUGAUCCAGCCAUGCCGCGUGAGUGAAGAAGGCCUUCGGGUUGUAAAGCUCUUUCGGCCGGGAAGAAAUCGCAUAGGCUAAUACCCUGUGUGGAUGACGGUACCGGAAUAAGAAGCACCGGCUAACUACGUG
This 484-nucleotide ribosomal RNA is filed under the name uncultured bacterium. RNAcentral describes it as "partial 16S ribosomal RNA". It matches the Rfam family "Bacterial small subunit ribosomal RNA", at positions 30 to 507 of the family's 1533-position model. The record is from RNAcentral.